RNAcentral lists this ribosomal RNA (440 nucleotides) under uncultured bacterium. RNAcentral's name for it is "bacterial SSU rRNA". It matches the Rfam family "Bacterial small subunit ribosomal RNA", at positions 341 to 773 of the family's 1533-position model. The record is from RNAcentral.
UCGGAAGGCAGCAGUGGGGAAUAUUGCACAAUGGGCGCAAGCCUGAUGCAGCCAUGCCGCGUGUAUGAAGAAGGCCUUCGGGUUGUAAAGUACUUUCAGUCGUGAGGAAGGUGUUAAGGUUAAUAACCUUAGCAAUUGACGUUAGCGACAGAAGAAGCACCGGCUAACUCCGUGCCAGCAGCCGCGGUAAUACGGAGGGUGCGAGCGUUAAUCGGAAUUACUGGGCGUAAAGGGCACGCAGGCGGUUAAUUAAGUUGGAUGUGAAAUCCCCGGGCUUAACCUGGGAAUGGCAUUCAAGACUGGUUAGCUAGAGUCUUGUAGAGGGGGUUAGAAUUCCAUGUGUAGCGGUGAAAUGCGUAGAGAUGUGGAGGAAUACCGGUGGCGAAGGCGGCCCCUGGACAAAGGACUGACGCUCAUGUGCGAAAGCGUGGGGAGCAAAC